AUUAAAAUAGUUUAAUAAAAAUAUUAAUUUUGUAAAUUAAUGAUGUUAAGUAACUUUUAGUU
RNAcentral lists this transfer RNA (62 nucleotides) under Euurobracon breviterebrae. RNAcentral's name for it is "tRNA-Thr". The record is from RNAcentral. Lineage: Eukaryota; Metazoa; Arthropoda; Insecta; Hymenoptera; Braconidae.